RNAcentral lists this long non-coding RNA (1467 nucleotides) under Homo sapiens (human). RNAcentral's name for it is "HSALNT0321267". Lineage: Eukaryota; Metazoa; Chordata; Mammalia; Primates; Hominidae. The record is from RNAcentral.
GCAGUGUGUGAGUCUGUGUAUGUAAGAGUGUGUGUAAAUGGAUUUGCUUCAAGCUUGAAGCUUAAUUUUCAUCUUAGUCUCUGCAGUUGCAGAAGUAAUUAUAUUUCAUUUAAAGUUAACAUGAUUCUAGUAACUGGUAUAUGAGACAUCUUCAAUGUUGACACAUUCCCUGAGAAUGUGGGACUUUACAAAAGGGCCUAUAAAGAGUCUGUACAGUAAAAAAUAAAUGUACAGGUCACAAUGUAUGAAAGUGAAAAUAAACAGUGUUUUCUUGGCUGACUCCGGGAACAAAGCUAAGACAACUGGAGAAACAAUAUAGCAGAAGAGUUAAUGGUGUGAUGUCAAGAGACUGCCCCAGGAAUGUGAACAGACACUUUAAAAAGUAAUGAGCUCUCUCUCUGGUCCACUAACUUCAGCAUUUAAGGCAGAGACUCAAUAUUCAAACAUCUGUGGAGAGUAAUUCCAGCAUCAGUUUGGAAGCUAUACUAGGUUGAUCUUUGGACAAUCCAGACCCACAGAAACAGGUUCUCACUUUGUCAACCAGGCUGGAAUGCAGUGGUGCAAUUGCAGCUCACUGCAGCCUCAAACUCCUGGGCUCAAGCAAUCCUCCCACCUGAGCUUCCCGAAGCACUGGGAUUACAAGUGUGAGCCACUGCACCAGCCUAAUUUGUAAUAUUUGCAUUGGAAAGUAGAAGCAGCCUGCCUCUCAGUGCCCCAGAUUUGAAAAAGCAAGUUACAAUCACGUGUCAUUACAAUGAAUUAUUUUGGAUAUGAAAGAGGAAGACAGGACACCUUAUGAGAGGAGCUGCAGUGAGGAGGCUGCAUUGUGGCCCUUUCUUUUUAAAAAUGUGUAUAUUCAAGAUGUACAACAUAAUAUUUUGAUGUAUUAUACAUAGUGAAAUGAUUGGGUGGGGGUGGGGGAGACUGAGGGCAGAGAGGUGUGAGGGACGUCCUUUACUCCUGGAGUAUGUGAAAUAGAGCACAGGAGGAAAUCUCAUGCGUAAGAGAGCUGACAAACCAGUAUGGACACUGCCCAAUUAUCACUUAAUGUUUCCUUGAAAAUAAAAAUGAUGCUGAUGAAAAACUGCUCUGACAUUGCUUUUCCAGGUUCUAAACCUUCUAUGCCUUAUAAAAUUAAUCUAUGAAUUAUUUGGGAUCCUAGCAAGGAGAAGGAAGUUUUUCCUGAUCGUCGACAAAGGAAUAUCCCUAAAACAUGCAUUUGGGUUCCUUUUAGUUCUAAAUUCCAGGACUCAAUCACAAUGUUAACUUAACCUGCUUCACAGACGUUUCAGUUGCUGCACUUUAAAAUGUACUACAUCAGAUUUUGUCAAUUAAAAAAUGCUUAGGUUUUCCAAUACUGCUCAACAACUUGUUGAGAACAAAUUUGUGGGGGCAAGGUGGGUGAAAUAAAGUGUCAGUGAAAAUACUCAACUUCUCCCUCAGGUGUAAAAAUCUCUCAGAGAAUUU